GGGGAAUUAGCUCAGCUGGCUAGAGCGUCCCGAGCUUGCCUCGGGAAGGUCACCGGUUCGACCCCGGUAUUUUCACA
RNAcentral lists this transfer RNA (77 nucleotides) under Aequorivita ciconiae. Its description in RNAcentral is "Aequorivita sp. H23M31 tRNA-OTHER". The record is from RNAcentral. Lineage: Bacteria; Pseudomonadati; Bacteroidota; Flavobacteriia; Flavobacteriales; Flavobacteriaceae.